This 468-nucleotide ribosomal RNA is filed under the name uncultured bacterium. Its description in RNAcentral is "partial 16S ribosomal RNA". It matches the Rfam family "Bacterial small subunit ribosomal RNA", at positions 28 to 507 of the family's 1533-position model. The record is from RNAcentral.
GACGAACGCUGGCGGCGUGCUUAACACAUGCCAGUCGAACGGAAACGCCCUGCUUUUGUGGGGUUCUCGAGUGGCGAACGGGUGCGUAACACGUGAGUAACCUGCCCUUGACUUUGGGAUAACUUCAGGAAACUGGGGCUAAUACCGGAUAGGAUCUCCUGCUCCAUGGUGGGGGUUGGAACGUUUCGGCGGUUGGGGAUGGACUCGCGGCUUAUCAGCUUGUUGGUGGGGUAGUGGCUUACCAAGGCUUUGACGGGUAGCCGGCCUGGGAGGGUGACCGGCGACAUUGGGACUGAGAUACGGACCAGACUGCAACGGGAGGCAGCAGGGGGGAGUAUUGCACAAUGGGAGGAAGCCUGAUGAGGCAACGCCGCGUGCGGGAUGACGGCCUGCGGGGUGUAAACCGCUUUAGCCUGUGACGAAGCGUGAGUGACGGUAAUGGGUAAAGAAGCACCGGCUAACUACGUG